Molecule: ribosomal RNA, 464 nt
Filed under: uncultured bacterium
Lineage: Bacteria
Description: partial 16S ribosomal RNA
Rfam family: Bacterial small subunit ribosomal RNA
Source: RNAcentral
CUACGGGCUGCACCAGUCGGGAAUAUUGGACAAUGGGGGAAACCCUGAUCCAGCCAUGCCGCGUGUGUGAAGAAGGCCCUAGGGUUGUAAAGCACUUUUAGUAGUGAGGAAGGCUCAGUAGUUAAUACCUACUGGGAUUGGCGUUAGCUACAGAAAAAGCACCGGCUAAUUUCGUGCCAGCAGCCGCGGUAAUACGAAAGGUGCAAGCGUUAAUCGGAAUUACUGGGCGUAAAGCGCGCGUAGGCGGCUUGGUAAGUUGGAUGUGAAAGCCCCGGGCUCAACCUGGGAACUGCAUCCAAAACUGCCUAGCUAGAGUAUGGUAGAGGAUGGCGGAAUUUCCUGUGUAGCGGUGAAAUGCGUAGAUAUAGGAAGGAACAUCAGUGGCGAAGGCGGCCAUCUGGACCAAUACUGACGCUGAGGUGCGAAAGCGUGGGGAGCAAACAGGAUUAGAUACCCUAGUAGUC